AUUGAACGCUGGCGGCAGGCCUAACACAUGCAAGUCGAACGGUAACAGGAAACAGCUUGCUGUUUCGCUGACGAGUGGCGGACGGGUGUGUAAUGUCUGGGAAACUGCCUGAUGGAGGGGGAUAACUACUGGAACCGGUAGCUAAUACCGCAUAACGUCGCAAAACCAAAUAUGGGGACCCUCGGGCCUAUUUGCAUCGGAUGUGCCCAGGUGGGAUUUGCUUGUUGGUGGGGUAACGGCUCGCCAAGGCGACGACCCCUAGCUGGUCUGAGAGGAUGACCAGCCACACUGGAACUGAGACACGGUCCAGACUCCUACGGGGGGAAGCAGUGGGGAAUAUUGCACAAUGGGCGCAAGCCUGAUGCAGCCAUGCCGCGUGUAUGAAGAAGGCCUUCGGGUUGUAAAGUACUUUCAGCGGGGAGGAAGGGAGUAAAGUUAAUACCUUUGCUCAUUGACGUUACCCGCAGAAGAAGCACCGGCUAACUACGUG
This 490-nucleotide ribosomal RNA is filed under the name uncultured bacterium. RNAcentral describes it as "partial 16S ribosomal RNA". It matches the Rfam family "Bacterial small subunit ribosomal RNA", at positions 30 to 507 of the family's 1533-position model. The record is from RNAcentral.